GAUGAACGCUGGCGGCGUGCCUAAUACAUGCAAGUCGAGCGAACGGACGAGAAGCUUGCUUCUCUGAUGUUAGCGGCGGACGGGUGAGUAACACGUGGAUAACCUACCUAUAAGACUGGGAUAACUUCGGGAAACCGGAGCUAAUACCGGAUAAUAUUUUGAACCGCAUGGUUCAAAAGUGAAAGACGGUCUUGCUGUCACUUAUAGAUGGAUCCGCGCUGCAUUAGCUAGUUGGUAAGGUAGCGGCUUACCAAGGCAACGAUGCAUAGCCGACCUGAGAGGGGGAACGGCCACAAUGGAACUGGGAAAAGGGCCCGAAUCCUAAGGGAGGCAGCAGUAGGGAAUCUUUCGGAAUGGGCGAAAGCCUGACGGAGCAAAGGCGCGGGAGUGAAGAAGGUCUUCGGAUCGUAAAAAUCUGUUAUUAGGGAAGAACAUAUGGUUAAGGAACUGUGCACCUCUUGACGGUACCUAAUCAGAAAGCCAAGGCUAACUAAGUG
This 497-nucleotide ribosomal RNA is filed under the name uncultured bacterium. RNAcentral describes it as "partial 16S ribosomal RNA". It matches the Rfam family "Bacterial small subunit ribosomal RNA", at positions 28 to 507 of the family's 1533-position model. The record is from RNAcentral.